This 980-nucleotide unclassified non-coding RNA is filed under the name Hevea brasiliensis (rubber tree). The record is from RNAcentral. Lineage: Eukaryota; Viridiplantae; Streptophyta; Magnoliopsida; Malpighiales; Euphorbiaceae.
UUUGUUGGGAACAAACUCUAAAACGAGCAAUCUGUCGAAUUCUUGACUGCAGUAGCCAACCAGCUUAACAAGAUUUCUGUGACGCACAAUGCCAACGGCAUUAACCUCCUUCUCAAAUUCUUCUUUCUGCUGUCCAUCAAGCUCAAAAUUAAGUUUCUUAAUAGCUACGUCUAUAUCUCUUGAAAGGGAUCCCCUAUAGACAGUACCAAAACCACCACCGCCAAGGAGUCUGGCGUUGGUGAAAUGACCAGUUGCAUUUGCUAGUUCUGGAAAUGUAAAUGUCCUCAGUUCAUAUGCUUCAUAAUCCUUAGAUGAUUGCGUUUCUUGAAGAACCCAUAAUUCCUUGUGAGGCAUUUUUCCUUCAAGUGUUCUAACCAUCUGUUCCAUUGUUGGCCGCUGCCUUGAGAAUUUACUGUAUACGCUAGCAGCAGCACAAUAAAUUACUCGUUCCAUUUCACUUUGAUUGUAGUCUCCUUCCAAUGUAGAAUCAACAAGACUGUUAUAAUUGACAUUAACUGAAUCCCCGUCGAUCAUUAAAGACCUUGCCCAAUUAACAAUACUAACAUGGCCUUCAUAAAUUUUUCUUCCACUAAUAAGCUCUAAAAGUAAAACACCAAAUGAAUAAACAUCUGACUUUUUAUCAAAAUGAGCAUUUUUUGAAUCUUUAUAAAUGCUAGCUUCUUUUUUAUCAAUGGGGAUUUGUCUGAUAUCAAUUUCUGAAAAAAUUUUAGCCAGCCCAAAAUCUGCAACCUUUGCUUUAAAGUCAUUGUCUAGAAGAACGUUAUCUGACUUGAUGUCUUGGUGGAUGAUUUUAGGAUUACAUUUUUCAUGUAGAUAUGCCAAACCUCUCGCAGAGUCUAUGGCAAUUUGCAUUCUUUUUGACCACUUCAAACUUGAUCUUUGCUUUACAUCUGAUGCCAUUUAUCAUUUGUAUGAUCACAAUCAAAUGCUCAUAGCGCUUAGAUGAAAUCUCAAAGAUU